RNAcentral lists this ribosomal RNA (1554 nucleotides) under Salmonella enterica. RNAcentral's name for it is "bacterial SSU rRNA". It matches the Rfam family "Bacterial small subunit ribosomal RNA". RNAcentral also lists the same sequence under 5 other names. Lineage: Bacteria; Pseudomonadati; Pseudomonadota; Gammaproteobacteria; Enterobacterales; Enterobacteriaceae. The record is from RNAcentral.
AAAUUGAAGAGUUUGAUCAUGGCUCAGAUUGAACGCUGGCGGCAGGCCUAACACAUGCAAGUCGAACGGUAACAGGAAGCAGCUUGCUGCUUCGCUGACGAGUGGCGGACGGGUGAGUAAUGUCUGGGAAACUGCCUGAUGGAGGGGGAUAACUACUGGAAACGGUGGCUAAUACCGCAUAACGUCGCAAGACCAAAGAGGGGGACCUUCGGGCCUCUUGCCAUCAGAUGUGCCCAGAUGGGAUUAGCUUGUUGGUGAGGUAACGGCUCACCAAGGCGACGAUCCCUAGCUGGUCUGAGAGGAUGACCAGCCACACUGGAACUGAGACACGGUCCAGACUCCUACGGGAGGCAGCAGUGGGGAAUAUUGCACAAUGGGCGCAAGCCUGAUGCAGCCAUGCCGCGUGUAUGAAGAAGGCCUUCGGGUUGUAAAGUACUUUCAGCGGGGAGGAAGGUGUUGUGGUUAAUAACCGCAGCAAUUGACGUUACCCGCAGAAGAAGCACCGGCUAACUCCGUGCCAGCAGCCGCGGUAAUACGGAGGGUGCAAGCGUUAAUCGGAAUUACUGGGCGUAAAGCGCACGCAGGCGGUCUGUCAAGUCGGAUGUGAAAUCCCCGGGCUCAACCUGGGAACUGCAUUCGAAACUGGCAGGCUUGAGUCUUGUAGAGGGGGGUAGAAUUCCAGGUGUAGCGGUGAAAUGCGUAGAGAUCUGGAGGAAUACCGGUGGCGAAGGCGGCCCCCUGGACAAAGACUGACGCUCAGGUGCGAAAGCGUGGGGAGCAAACAGGAUUAGAUACCCUGGUAGUCCACGCCGUAAACGAUGUCUACUUGGAGGUUGUGCCCUUGAGGCGUGGCUUCCGGAGCUAACGCGUUAAGUAGACCGCCUGGGGAGUACGGCCGCAAGGUUAAAACUCAAAUGAAUUGACGGGGGCCCGCACAAGCGGUGGAGCAUGUGGUUUAAUUCGAUGCAACGCGAAGAACCUUACCUGGUCUUGACAUCCACGGAAGUUUUCAGAGAUGAGAAUGUGCCUUCGGGAACCGUGAGACAGGUGCUGCAUGGCUGUCGUCAGCUCGUGUUGUGAAAUGUUGGGUUAAGUCCCGCAACGAGCGCAACCCUUAUCCUUUGUUGCCAGCGAUUCGGUCGGGAACUCAAAGGAGACUGCCAGUGAUAAACUGGAGGAAGGUGGGGAUGACGUCAAGUCAUCAUGGCCCUUACGACCAGGGCUACACACGUGCUACAAUGGCGCAUACAAAGAGAAGCGACCUCGCGAGAGCAAGCGGACCUCAUAAAGUGCGUCGUAGUCCGGAUUGGAGUCUGCAACUCGACUCCAUGAAGUCGGAAUCGCUAGUAAUCGUGGAUCAGAAUGCCACGGUGAAUACGUUCCCGGGCCUUGUACACACCGCCCGUCACACCAUGGGAGUGGGUUGCAAAAGAAGUAGGUAGCUUAACCUUCGGGAGGGCGCUUACCACUUUGUGAUUCAUGACUGGGGUGAAGUCGUAACAAGGUAACCGUAGGGGAACCUGCGGUUGGAUCACCUCCUUACCUUAAAGAAGC